Molecule: ribosomal RNA, 497 nt
Filed under: uncultured bacterium
Lineage: Bacteria
Description: partial 16S ribosomal RNA
Rfam family: Bacterial small subunit ribosomal RNA
Source: RNAcentral
GGGGGGGGGGGGGGGGGGGGGGGGGGGGGGGGGGGCGGGCGGGCGGGCGGGGGGCUGGCUCCGGUGACGUUGGCGGCGGGCGGGUGGGUGACCCGUGGCUACCCUGCCUAUAAGGCUGGGGUCACUUCGGGAAACCGGGGCUAAUCCCGACUACCAUGUUGACCCGCCUCGUUCCCCAGUCAACGCGGGUUUUCCUUUCCCUUAUUGCUGGAUCCGCGCCGCUUGAGCUAGUUGGUCAGGUAACGGCUUACCAAGGCAACGAUGCGUCGCCGACCUGCGAGGGGGAUCGGCCAAACUGGAACUGAGAAACGGUCCAGACUCCUACGGGAGGCAGCAGUAGGGAAUCUUCCGCAAUGGGCGAAAGCCUGACGGAGCAACGCCGCGUGAGUGAAGAAGGUCUUCGGAUCGUAAAACUCUGUGAUUAGGGAAGAACAAAUGUGUAAGUAACUAUGCACGUCUUGACGGUACCUAAUCAGAAAGCCACGGCUAACUACGUG